Molecule: ribosomal RNA, 253 nt
Filed under: uncultured bacterium
Lineage: Bacteria
Description: partial 16S ribosomal RNA
Rfam family: Bacterial small subunit ribosomal RNA
Source: RNAcentral
UACAGAGGUCCCAAGCGUUGUUCGGAUUCACUGGGCGUAAAGGGUGCGUAGGUGGUUGGGAAAGUUUGAUGUGAAAGCUCGGAGCUUAACUCCGAAAUGGCAUUGAAUACUUCUUAACUUGAGGGUCGGAGGGGAGACUGGAAUUUACGGUGUAGCGGUGAAAUGCGUAGAUAUCGUAAGGAAGACCAGUGGCGAAGGCGGGUCUCUGGACAGUUCCUGACGCUGAGGCACGAAGGUCAGGGGAGCAAACGGG